RNAcentral lists this ribosomal RNA (440 nucleotides) under uncultured bacterium. Its description in RNAcentral is "partial 16S ribosomal RNA". It matches the Rfam family "Bacterial small subunit ribosomal RNA", at positions 338 to 795 of the family's 1533-position model. The record is from RNAcentral.
CCUACGGGUGGCUGCAGUGGGGGAUAUUGCACAAUGGCGGGAACCCUGAUGCAGCGACGCCGCGUGGGUGAAGAAGGGCCUCGGCGCGUAAAGCCCUGUCAGCAGGGAAGAAAAUGACGGUACCUGAAGCUGAAGCCCCGGCGAACUACGUGCCAGCAGCCGCGGUAAUACGUAGGGGGCAAGCGUUAUCCGGAUUUACUGGGUGUAAAGGGGUCGCAGACGGCGAUGCAAGCCAGGAGUGAAAGCCCGGGGCCCAACCCCGGGACUGCUGUUGGAACUGCGUGGCUGGAGUGCGGGAGGGGCAGGCGGAAUGCGUGGUGGAGCGGUGAAAUGCGUAGAUAGCAGGAGGAACACCGGUGGCGAAGGCGGCCUGCUGGACUGCAACUGACGCUGAGGCCCGAAAGCGUGGGGAGCAAACAGGAUUAGAUACCCGGGUAGUC